AUGUAUGAGAACCAGAUGCAAAAUUUUGGUAUUGAUCAAGUCACGCACUUUCUUUAUGCAGAGAGCAGGGCUGUGGAGACCCAGUUCACAUCUGGAGCCAGCAAUGUCCUGUUAGUGCAGGGAAUCAGCCCAGUAUCCUGCAGUGAUGCUGACCAGCCGUGCUUUCAUCGGUGCUUCGUGUGA
This 183-nucleotide long non-coding RNA is filed under the name Cyanistes caeruleus (blue tit). RNAcentral's name for it is "lncRNA (ENSCCEG00000015812.1)". The record is from RNAcentral. Lineage: Eukaryota; Metazoa; Chordata; Aves; Passeriformes; Paridae.